Long non-coding RNA from Setaria italica (foxtail millet), 1361 nucleotides. RefSeq lists it as uncharacterized. Lineage: Eukaryota; Viridiplantae; Streptophyta; Magnoliopsida; Poales; Poaceae. The transcript has 4 exons. The record is from RefSeq and is a predicted model, not a curated record.
AUGAACAUUUCGAUGAAACCCCCUCCUCUAUCAUCUCCGUCACCCCCAAAUUCCUCGACCUAGGGAUUCCGCACCAGCUCCAUCCUUCCAGUCAAUCGAUCACCUUCCCUAGUUCCCUUGAAUCUUCAGCGGCAUUCACACACGGGUUUAGAUGCUGGUGGCGGCGCCGGCGGCGGCGGUGAAGACUUUAGCUAGCCUAGCUAAUGAUUGAUGUCUUGCAAACUGUUGAUUUGCGCCAACCUACAUCAUCGUAGCCUCAUAGGAGCAGGCACCAGCGGGGCGGUUAUCAGCCCAUACCUCUCCCUUAUCUCCAAGAGCGGGCACCAGCGUGGCGGGUGGCGAGCGGCUGGUGUGCGCGGGCGCCAGCAGGAGCGGCGGCCGGUGGGGCGGGCCCGUGAGCUCGGGGACCGGCGCGCCCGGUUGGAUGCAGCGGCGGCCGACCGCGCACAGGAGCGGCGUGGGCGGCCGGUGGACGCGGACGCCGGCAGAAGCGAUGGCCGGUGGUGCGGGCCCGUGAGCGCUGGAUGCAGCGGUGGCCAACCGGGCGCGGGAGGGGCGGGCAGCGGGCGCCGGCGGGAGUGGGAGGGCGAGCUCCGGCAGGUACACAAGGGUGGCGUGGGACCGUCGGGGGUAGCCCCAGCCAAGCUGCAGCUAGCGCGGGCGACGAUGGAGAAGCAGUACGGGGUCGUGGGAUGGUGGCGCGGCCACGGUUGCGGCAGCAGGAGCGGAUACGGCCAGCUUUUUUUAUUAUCCAAAAAUAUCUUUGCUGGCGGGCUAUUUAAGCACCCGUCAGCGCAAAUUAAAACUGUACUGGCGGGUGGACACCCGCCAACACAAAGACUAUUUGUGCUGACAGUGAGUUGUUGCUGGUGGGUGCAGUAGAAAUCAAUUUUGACUGCCAGCGAAAAUGUUUUUUGGCGCUGUGAAUAUUACAAGAACAUAAAAACCUGUAGGGGUAGCCCAUUCUGCACAAGGUCAAACCGAUUUCUGUGCGCAAGCCCACACUGCAUUCCCUCCAACUUUCCUUUGAACAAAUGAAGUGUUUCCCUACAUAUUUCGUUUGCUUGAUUUCUGUGGACCUUGAUGAACACAAAAACCAACAUGGUAAGCAAGUUAUGCAAUAUUGAAAGAUGGCUUUAGUUAACAGCUAAAGUUAAUCUUAAACAUGCUAAAAAGAUGGCCAACAAAGCACGCCACAAGAUUGAAAGAAUCCCACACACUCCUGAAACCAUGCAUCCAUUAUAUAGCCCAACUUCAUUUUCAGUUUAUUAUCAUAUAUUUCUACAUGCACACUCAAAGGCAGCACUAUGACAUGAUUUUAGUUGAUUCAGUAGCCAACCCACAGAUGAAGCAGUUUUUGC